UGACUUACCUGAUUUGCGUGGCUUUUCCGGAAAUUGUGGCCAGUGUAGACGUAGCCUGUGUGUUUAAAUGGAAGGUGAAGAUAGACCAGUGGCCCAGUUUUCUGGUACAAUGAAUAGAUAAAUAGCCUUUCCACUGAAAUUAAUAGACUACUAGGGCUAUCGGGUAAAUAUAAUUUUAAUCUUAAAAGCAACCUAUAUUUGUAUGAUCCAAGAAAUUGAAAGCCUGUAGCUCACAAUAAAGAGAAUUAAAUGUGUUAACUCUUUUACUGAAUUGUAUGAUAAUUGUCUUAUCCUGUAGACUGUAAAUUGUAGUUUAUUUUAUUUACUUGUCUGGUAGAGUACAUUCCAGAAUAUGUAGUAAUUGUUAGAAGGAAUAAGAUACAGAACUUAUUUUUGUGCUUCUCAAAUUUGAUAUCUUAAAGGAAAUACUGUAGUUUGAAAAUGCACACUGAGGCAGCAGUAAAGUGUUGAUAGUUGACUGUUUAAAACUAGUCUUUGGAACUACUCUUUAAAAUGGAUUAUUGAGAUGGAGCAUUUGUCAGAUAGUAUUGAAUUAACAGUGAAACCUGAAUAUUCAUUUAGUCAAAAUGAUAGUAAAUCUGACUUUAUGUACAACUUUUGGAGCAAUUUAACCUACAGUUUGUUGGACAGAACUAAACUGCUAACAAUCAGAGUAGUUGUAAGAAAUAAAAAAUGCUACUUUGACUCAGUUGAUAUGGUGCAGAAUCUGUGCUGAGUAAAGGAAACUGCUUUUUUUACUUAAUGUGUCAAUUGAUGAAAUAUGGUUUAACUUGCAUCUUCAAAUUAUGCAGCAUCAAUUUAGCUGUAAUUGAAAUGUCAGUUGCCAAGAUGGAACUGCAGAAUUUUCAAAGCAUACAGAAACAAUUGACUUCUAGAAUUGGAGGUAGAGUAGGAUUCAGUUAAGCUGGCUUUCUUUCUCUGCUAUGCAUUUUAGUCAGUGGUAUUGCUGUAUCUAGCACCUGUCUCUACACAGUAAUAGGGUAAUUUGGAACCCAAACGUGCUUCCACAGACAUCAAUGGUUUAGUUCCUCUGUUGCUGUUCAGAUCUCCAAAGCAUCAUCCAAGCAAAAACUGACCAGAGACUUCCCAGUCUUCACUGCUGAUAUAGAGAAUUUUGUGGAUAGCAAUUCAGCUGACAAGGACAGUCAAUUUCCUUCUGUUUCAAUUUGGGAAAAGCUCUGAGCAGUAGAGGAAGGUGCAAAAAAAUCAGAUUCAGAAGUAUAGUGGGUUUGUUGGGAAAACACCACUAUCAUUCUUGCAACAGCCAGAGGGUCUUUGAAGGGUGCAGGAGACACCUACUAGCAAGACACUUCAAAAGAUGGAACCCCAGACGAGUGCAUGGACAUCACCUUGAGAAGUUGAAAAACUAGCAGUGUUCCCUUGUGCAGCACAGAAGAAUGAGCCAUCAGUGGGAAAGAGAACAUUAUAUCUUGAUUGGAUAUAUUUGAAGAGGACAUUUUAGUUUUGUGACAUGCUGCAGCAG
Molecule: non-coding RNA, 1504 nt
Organism: Pelodiscus sinensis (Chinese soft-shelled turtle)
Lineage: Eukaryota; Metazoa; Chordata; Testudines; Trionychidae
Source: RefSeq, a predicted model, not a curated record